UUGAUAGCAGUAGAAACUGACAGACUUUAAUCCACAAAGCAGGCACAGUAUAGGAAGUGAAAAUAAAAGCUUCCCCUUGAACGUCCUGCUAAUGAGCCUAACCAGAGAGCUGGGCCCAGUUCAGGGCUUAGUUACUACACCCUUUCCAUCCUUCACCUUCU
Molecule: unclassified non-coding RNA, 161 nt
Organism: Parus major (Great Tit)
Lineage: Eukaryota; Metazoa; Chordata; Aves; Passeriformes; Paridae
Source: Ensembl